RNAcentral lists this transfer RNA (89 nucleotides) under Bacillus subtilis subsp. subtilis str. BSP1. Its description in RNAcentral is "tRNA-Leu". The record is from RNAcentral. Lineage: Bacteria; Bacillati; Bacillota; Bacilli; Caryophanales; Bacillaceae.
ACUUCGAGUGACUGGGGAUGGGCGAUUGAUCCAACCGGGCUGAGAUAUACGUUAAAUCGUUUUUAUGACCGAUACCAAAUCCCGUUAUU